This 622-nucleotide ribosomal RNA is filed under the name Russula xerampelina. RNAcentral describes it as "eukaryotic LSU rRNA". The stretch from base 191 to 344 matches the Rfam family "5.8S ribosomal RNA". The record is from RNAcentral. Lineage: Eukaryota; Fungi; Basidiomycota; Agaricomycetes; Russulales; Russulaceae.
CAUUAUCGUACAGCUGAGGUGCAAAGGCUGUCGCUGACCCUCAAGGGUUGUGCACGCCCGAGUGCUCUCACACAAUCCAUCUCACCUUUGUGCAUCACCGCGUGGGUCCCCUUUGCAGGAGGGCUCACGUUUUCACAUAAAACUCGAUACAGUGUAGAAUGUUUCUUUUGCGGUCACACGCAAUCAAUACAACUUUCAACAACGGAUCUCUUGGCUCUCGCAUCGAUGAAGAACGCAGCGAAAUGCGAUACGUAAUGUGAAUUGCAGAAUUCAGUGAAUCAUCGAAUCUUUGAACGCACCUUGCGCCCCUUGGCAUUCCGAGGGGCACACCCGUUUGAGUGUCGUGAAAUCUUCAAAACCCUUUUUUCUUUGAACCAUYGCGGUCGGGAAAAGGAUUUUUGGACUUGGAGGCUUAAUGCUUGCCCUUUCUUUUUGAAAGCGAGCUCCUCUCAAAUGAAUUAGUGGGGUCCGCUUUGCUGAUCCUUGACGUGAUAAAAUGUUUCUACGUUUUGGGUUUAGCACUGUCCCUUGGAUGCCUGCUGCUAACCGUCUCAUUGACAAUGAUGGUGCUCCGGUCACUGCCGUCUACGUCGGCGGGAGGCUGGACCCACAAAAAGAAAAC